RNAcentral lists this unclassified non-coding RNA (1574 nucleotides) under Hevea brasiliensis (rubber tree). The record is from RNAcentral. Lineage: Eukaryota; Viridiplantae; Streptophyta; Magnoliopsida; Malpighiales; Euphorbiaceae.
GAUUAUUCAUAUAUUACAAGAGUAACAGAUACUUUGCCUUUUCCUACAUAGCAUAUCCCUGAGGUCUUUCUUAUACAAGUUUUGAUGCAAUCAAUGGAAUCCCCUGGAUCCUCCAGACUGGUAGAGUUCCAGCUUGCUUUUGGAUUCAUGCAACAAUGUCUCCGUCUCUUCAUCUCGGUUCAAGUGUGCCUGCUUUGAUGCCCAUUUGAGCACUGAAAGCACCUCGGCUUCAGCAAGCUCUUCGCUAUUAGGGACGUGCAAUGCAAUGUCACAUAGGAGAAGCAAUGCAGAAUUCUGAACUACUUUUUCACCAAAGCAAACAAGUUGAACCAAAUGUCCUGCACCUCCAGCGCUUAGUAUUGCCUUGCAAUGAUUCAGGUGAAGGUAGUUCUCAUUGCACGAAAAUUUCUUGAGGGAAAUGGCUGCUUCAUUUGAAAUCUCUGGUUCUCGUUGAUCGAGCAGCUUUACUAAUGGGCUAAUCAUCCUCGUCUCAGUAGCUCGAAAAGUCGUGGCCAAAUUCCCAAUUGACCGAAUGCAUGGAACAAGCAGGUUCAAAUCUUCUUUCUCAAUGAUUCUCAACAGUUGAUCAACAACAGCUUUGCAAGCAGGUGAAUUAGGCUUGAACACUGACUUUCUCAAAUCAGGAUCUUUCUCCGCCACUGCUGUGAUUUCCAUUACUGCCAUCGCGGAAUGAUACUGAACAUCUUCAGCCCCUUUCUCCAAGAGUACUGCAAAGCAAAGCAGUGCUCUUGAAUCAGUAAUGCUAUGGCAAAUAGUUGAAUUUCCCUUGGCCAGUUUCCAUAAAGCUCUUGCAGCCAUUGCCUUCAUAUAAGCCUUGGUAGUAGGGUCCUCAGAUUCUCGCCCUCUAUUACUGACCCCUGUAGCAUAAUGACUCUGCUGAUGAUAUGUCUGGUUUGCAUCAUUGAACGGAGACGAUUGCAUAUCCGUGGUGGCAGUAACCACAUUGUGCAUCUGAGUAGGCUUCUUAUUUCCUAAAGGAUGUGGAAUGUGGCUAUUAUCAUCAUCCUCAUUCAACUUGUGCACUUUACUAGCUGAAAGAACAGCAUCAAUCGACGUGGAUUUGCCAACAAUAGCAUACUUGCUAUGCUCCUGAACCGUCUCAAACGCGAGAUGGCUAACAAGUAAUCUGAUUAUGUUAUUCUGAUGAAAAACAUCUUGACAUUCAGGAUAAUGUGCAGCAAGUUCAGAAACUGCCCAAGCCACCACUGCUUGAACCUUCAUAGGACCUUCUUUGAGGAUUUUCGCAAACACUGAGCAAACCCCAGCAUGUAUCAUGUGUUCAACGCUUUCCGGGUCACGCCCAAGAAGACCAAUUGCCCUAGCAGCAUUCUCCUGACCUUCUGAUUUCCCUUCCUUCAAUAAUUUCAGCAAUGGCCCAACUCCACCUUCUUCAAUAAUCAAUUUCCCAUACCGGUCAUUGUCUCUGGCUAAAGAAACAAGCGAAUUAGCCGCGUCUGAUCUGUCAUCAACACUACCCGUGUACAAAAUAGCGAUCUGCUCCCAAAUUAGGCAUAAAAUUGGCUCAUUCGCAGCAAUAGGAGGGAGACCCAAAC